This 253-nucleotide ribosomal RNA is filed under the name uncultured bacterium. RNAcentral describes it as "partial 16S ribosomal RNA". It matches the Rfam family "Bacterial small subunit ribosomal RNA", at positions 524 to 776 of the family's 1533-position model. The record is from RNAcentral.
UACGAAGGGAGCUAGCGUUGUUCGGAAUCACUGGGCGUAAAGCGCACGUAGGCGGCUGUGUCAGUCAGGGGUGAAAUCCCGGAGCUCAACUUCGGAACUGCCCUUGAUACAGCACGUCUUGAGUCCGGAAGAGGUGGGUGGAAUUCCUAGUGUAGAGGUGAAAUUCGUAGAUAUUAGGAAGAACACCGGUGGCGAAGGCGGCCCAUUGGUCCGGUACUGACGCUGAGGUGCGAAAGCGUGGGGAGCAAACAGG